CCUACGGGUGGCUGCAGUGGGGAAUAUUGGACAAUGGGCGAAAGCCUGAUCCAGCCAUGCCGCGUGUGUGAAGAAGGCCUUCGGGUUGUAAAGCACUUUCAGUGGGGAAGAAAGCCUUGGGGCUAAUACCCUCGAGGAAGGACAUCACCCACAGAAGAAGCACCGGCUAACUCCGUGCCAGCAGCCGCGGUAAUACGGAGGGUGCGAGCGUUAAUCGGAAUUACUGGGCAUAAAGCGCGCGUAGGCGGUCUGAUAAGCCGGUUGUGAAAGCCCCGGGCUCAACCUGGGAACGGCAUCCGGAACUGUCAGGCUAGAGUGCAGGAGAGGAAGGUAGAAUUCCCGGUGUAGCGGUGAAAUGCGUAGAGAUCGGGAGGAAUACCAGUGGCGAAGGCGGCCUUCUGGACUGACACUGACGCUGAGGUGCGAAAGCGUGGGUAGCAAACAGGAUUAGAUACCCCAGUAGUC
This 465-nucleotide ribosomal RNA is filed under the name Vreelandella stevensii. RNAcentral describes it as "partial 16S ribosomal RNA". It matches the Rfam family "Bacterial small subunit ribosomal RNA", at positions 338 to 795 of the family's 1533-position model. The record is from RNAcentral. Lineage: Bacteria; Pseudomonadati; Pseudomonadota; Gammaproteobacteria; Oceanospirillales; Halomonadaceae.